RNAcentral lists this ribosomal RNA (500 nucleotides) under uncultured bacterium. Its description in RNAcentral is "partial 16S ribosomal RNA". It matches the Rfam family "Bacterial small subunit ribosomal RNA", at positions 28 to 523 of the family's 1533-position model. The record is from RNAcentral.
GAUGAACGCUGGCGGCAGGCCUAACACAUGCAAGUCGAGCGGCAGCGGGACCUUCGGGUUGCCGGCGAGCGGCGGACGGGUGAGUAAUGCCUAGGAAUCUGCCUGUUAGUGGGGGAUAACGCGGGGAAACUCGCGCUAAUACCGCAUACGUCCUACGGGAGAAAGCGGGGGCUCUUCGGACCUCGCGCUAACAGAUGAGCCUAGGUCGGAUUAGCUAGUUGGUGGGGUAAUGGCCCACCAAGGCGACGAUCCGUAACUGGUCUGAGAGGAUGAUCAGUCACACUGGAACUGAGACACGGUCCAGACUCCUACGGGAGGCAGCAGUGGGGAAUAUUGGACAAUGGGCGAAAGCCUGAUCCAGCCAUGCCGCGUGUGUGAAGAAGGUCUUCGGAUUGUAAAGCACUUUAAGUCGGGAGGAAGGGCUGUAGGCUAAUACCUUGCAGUUUUGACGUUACCGACAGAAUAAGCACCGGCUAACUUCGUGCCAGCCGCCGCGGUAA